CCUACGGGAGGCAGCAGUAAGGAAUAUUGGACAAUGGACGCAAGUCUGAUCCAGCCAUGCCGCGUGAAGGAUUAAGGUCCUCUGGAUUGUAAACUUCUUUUAUAAGGGACGAAAAAAGGUCUUUCUAGAUCGUCUGACGGUACCUUAUGAAUAAGCACCGGCUAACUCCGUGCCAGCAGCCGCGGUAAUACGGAGGGUGCAAGCGUUAUCCGGAUUCACUGGGUUUAAAGGGUGCGUAGGCGGGCAGGUAAGUCAGUGGUGAAAUCCUAGAGCUUAACUCUAGAACUGCCAUUGAUACUAUCUGUCUUGAAUAUUGUGGAGGUAAGCGGAAUAUGUCAUGUAGCGGUGAAAUGCUUAGAUAUGACAUAGAACACCUAUUGCGAAGGCAGCUUACUACGCAUAUAUUGACGCUGAGGCACGAAAGCGUGGGGAUCAAACAGGAUUAGAUACCCUGGUAGUCCACGACCCUAAACGAUGGAUACUCGACAUACGCGAUACACUGUGUGUGUCUGAGCGAAAGCAUUAAGUAUCCCACCGUGGAAGUACGACCGCGAAGGUUGAAACUACAAAGAGUAGUAGGACGUGAGAGAGCGACGACGACGACGACGGAGGGAGGAGG
Molecule: ribosomal RNA, 619 nt
Filed under: uncultured bacterium
Lineage: Bacteria
Description: bacterial SSU rRNA
Rfam family: Bacterial small subunit ribosomal RNA
Source: RNAcentral